UACGGAGGAUCCGAGCGUUAUCCGGAUUUAUUGGGUUUAAAGGGUGCGCAGGCGGGGGAUUAAGUCGGCGGUGAAAUUUUGCAGCUCAACUGUAAAAGUGCCUUCGAAACUGGUUUCCUUGAGUGUAGAUGAAGUAGGCGGAAUUUGUGGUGUAGCGGUGAAAUGCAUAGAUAUCACGGGGAACUCCGAUUGCGCAGGCAGCUUACUAAACUACUACUGACGCUCAGGCACGAAGGCGUGGGGAUCAAACAGGAUUAGAUACCCUGGUAGUCCCU
Molecule: ribosomal RNA, 275 nt
Filed under: uncultured prokaryote
Description: partial 16S ribosomal RNA
Rfam family: Bacterial small subunit ribosomal RNA
Source: RNAcentral